RNAcentral lists this ribosomal RNA (261 nucleotides) under uncultured archaeon. RNAcentral's name for it is "partial 16S ribosomal RNA". It matches the Rfam family "Archaeal small subunit ribosomal RNA", at positions 748 to 1009 of the family's 1478-position model. The record is from RNAcentral.
UAGCCGUAAACGAUACUCGCUAGGUGUCGGCCACGGUGCGACCGUUGUCGGUGCCGUAGGGAAGCCGUGAAGCGAGCCACCUGGGAAGUACGGCCGCAAGGCUGAAACUUAAAGGAAUUGGCGGGGGAGCACAACAACGGGUGGAGCUUGCGGUUUAAUUGGAUUCAACGCCGGAAAUCUUACCGGGACCGACAGCAACAUGAAGGCCAGGCUGAAGACCUUGCCGGAUUAGCUGAGAGGAGGUGCAUGGCGUAGUCGUGU